CCCAGACAACCAGGAUGUUGGCUUAGAAGCAGCCAUGCAUUCAAAGAGUGCGUAACAGCUCACUGGCCGAGUGGACAUGCGCCGACAAUACACGGGGCUAAGCUGCGCGCCGAAGCGGCGGACUGAUCUUAUCAGUGGUAGGGGAGCUUCCCCCGGGGGGCGAAGCGGAAGGGGCGACCUUCCGUGGACCGCGGGGGAGUGAGGAUGCUGGCAUGAGUAGCGAGAGCAGGGUGGGAAACCCUGCCGCCGUAAGCCCAAGGUUUCCUGGGCAAGGCUUGUCCUCCCAGGGUCAGUCGGGUGCUAAGCCGAGGCGGACACGCGUAGGCGAACGCGCGACAGGCGGACAUUCCUGUACCGCCGCGGCGCCGUCACGACCGACGGGGCGACGGAGGGGGGUAGGCCGGCGGGGUUCUGGACGCCCCCGUGAAAGCCGGUAGGCCGGGAGGGCAGGUAAGUCCGCCCUCCCACACCAAAGGCCGAGACGCGAGACGAAGCCGCAUGGCGAAGCGGCCGAGCCCGUACUCCCGAGAAAAACCCCUAGGCAGGCGCCGCGGCGCCCGUACCAAGACCGACUCAGGUGGGCGGGUAGAGCAUACCGAGGCGAUCGGGGGAACCGUGGUCAAGGAACUCGGCAUAAUCGCCCCGUAACCUAGGGAGAAGGGGUGCCGGCGGGGGUGGAGGGACUUGCUCCCCGAGCCCGGGCCGGCCGCAGCGAAGAGGCCCAAGCGACUGUUUACCAAAAACACAGGACUCUGCCAAGCCGCAAGGCGACGUAUAGGGUCUGACGCCUGCCCGGUGCCGGAAGGUCACGCGGAGGGGUCAGCCGCAAGGCGAAGCCCCGAAGCCAAGCCCCGGUAAACGGCGGCCGUAACUAUAACGGUCCUAAGGUAGCGAAAUUCCUUGUCGGGUAAGUUCCGACCUGCACGAACGGCGUAACGACUUGGGCGCUGUCUCGACCACGGACCCGGCGAAAUUGCACUGUUCGUGAAGAUGCGAACUGCCCGCGGAAGGACGGAAAGACCCCGUGAACCUUCACUGCAGCUUGGCGCUGGCCGACGGUUCGGCGCGUAGAGGAUAGGCGGGAGGCGAAGAAAGGGGGGCGCCAGCCCCCCCGGAGCCGCCCUUGGAAUACCGCCCUCGCAGCUCCGGCGGCCUAACCCCGCUCCGUCAUCCGGGCGGGGGACCGCGCCAGGCGGGCAGUUUGACUGGGGCGGUCGCCUCCCAAAAGGCAACGGAGGCGCGCGCAAGCUCGGCUCAGGACGGUCGGCAACCGUCCGCAGAGCGCAAGAGUGCAAGCCGGGCUGACUGCGAGGGAGACACCCCGAGCAGGGACGAAAGUCGGCUCUAGUGAUCCGGCGGCCCCGAGUGGAAGGGCCGUCGCUCAACGGAUAAAAGGUACUCCGGGGAUAACAGGCUGAUCUUGCCCAAGAGUCCACAUCGACGGCAAGGUUUGGCACCUCGAUGUCGGCUCAUCGCAUCCUGGGGCUGGAGCAGGUCCCAAGGGUACGGCUGUUCGCCGUUUAAAGCGGUACGCGAGCUGGGUUCAGAACGUCGUGAGACAGUUCGGUCCCUAUCCUCCGCGGGCGCAAGGGAACUGAGGAGAGCUGCCCCUAGUACGAGAGGACCGGGGUGGACGCACCUCCGGUGGCGCGGUUGUCGACCAACGGCACGGCCGCCUGGCCGCGUGCGGCGCGGAUAACCGCUGAAGGCAUCUAAGCGGGAAGCCGCCUCCGAGAUGAGUUCCCUCUCCGGUAAGGGCCCUGGCAGAACACCAGGUCGAUAGGCCGCAGCUGCAAGCGCCGCGAGGCGCUCAGGCGAGCGGCACUAACAGCCCGAGCUCUUCACCCC
RNAcentral lists this ribosomal RNA (1848 nucleotides) under human gut metagenome. RNAcentral's name for it is "bacterial LSU rRNA". It matches the Rfam family "Bacterial large subunit ribosomal RNA", at positions 1084 to 2925 of the family's 2925-position model. The record is from RNAcentral.